RNAcentral lists this ribosomal RNA (478 nucleotides) under uncultured bacterium. Its description in RNAcentral is "partial 16S ribosomal RNA". It matches the Rfam family "Bacterial small subunit ribosomal RNA", at positions 28 to 507 of the family's 1533-position model. The record is from RNAcentral.
GAUGAACGCUGGCGGCGUGCUUAACACAUGCAAGUCGAACGAGAAAUGUAGACGGAAACCUUCGGGCGGAAGCCUUCAUUUCGAGUGGCGGACGGGUGAGUAACGCGUGGGUAACCUGCCUCAUACAGGGGGAUAACAGUUGGAAACGACUGUUAAUACCGCAUAAGACCAUAGCAUCGCAUGAUGCGGGGGUAAAAACUCCGGUGGUAUGAGAUGGACCCGCGUUCGAUUAGCCAGUUGGCAGGGUAACGGCCCACCAAAGCGACGAUCGAUAGCCGAGCUGAGAGGAUGAGCGGCCACAUUGGGACUGAGACACGGCCGAAACUCCUACGGGAGGGAGCAGUGGGGGAUAUUGCACAAGGGGGGAAACCCUGAUGCAGCGACGCCGCGUGAGUGAAGAAGUACGGCGGUAUGUAAAGCUCUAGCAGCAGGGAAGAAAAUGACGGUACCUGAGUAAGAAGCCCCGGCUAACUACGUG